This 448-nucleotide ribosomal RNA is filed under the name uncultured bacterium. RNAcentral's name for it is "SSU rRNA". It matches the Rfam family "Bacterial small subunit ribosomal RNA", at positions 26 to 518 of the family's 1533-position model. The record is from RNAcentral.
AGAGCGAACGCUGGCGGCAGGCCUAACACAUGCAAGUCGAGCGCCCGUAGCAAUACGGGAGCGGCAGACGGGAUAGUAACACGUGGGAACGCGCCCUUCGGUUCGGAAUAACUCAGGGAAACUUGAGCUAAUACCGGAUACGCCCUUACGGGGAAAGAUUUAUCGCCGAAAGAUUGGCCCGCGUCUGAUUAGCUAGUUGGUGAGGUAACGGCUCACCAAGGCGACAAUCAGUAGCUGGUCUGAGAGGAUGAUCAGCCACAUUGGGACUGAGACACGGCCCAAACUCCUACGGGAGGCAGCAGUGGGGAAUAUUGGACAAUGGGCGCAAGCCUGAUCCAGCCAUGCCGCGUGAGUGAUGAAGGCCCUAGGGUUGUAAAGCUCUUUUGUGCGGGAAGAUAAUGACGGUACCGCAAGAAUAAGCCCCGGCUAACUUCGUGCCAGCAGCCGC